CAUGCAAGUAGGACGCACAGUCUAUACCGUAGCUUGCUACACCAUAGGCUGUGAGUUGCGAACGGGUGAGUAACGCGUAGGUAACCUGCCUAUUAGAGGGGGAUAACUAUUGGAAACGAUAGCUAAUACCGCAUAACAGUAUGUAACACAUGUUAGAUGCUUGAAAGAUGCAAUUGCAUCGCUAGUAGAUGGACCUGCGUUGUAUUAGCUAGUAGGUAGGGUAAUGGCCUACCUAGGCAACGAUACAUAGCCGACCUGAGAGGGUGAUCGGCCACACUGGGACUGAGACACGGCCCAGACUCCUACGGGAGGCAGCAGUAGGGAAUCUUCGGCAAUGGGGGGAACCCUGACCGAGCAACGCCGCGUGAGUGAAGAAGGUUUUCGAAUCGUAAAGCUCUGUUGUUAAGGAAGAACGAGUGUGAGAAUGGAAAGUUCAUACUGUGACGGUACUUAACCAGAAAGGGACGG
Molecule: ribosomal RNA, 468 nt
Filed under: Streptococcus anginosus
Lineage: Bacteria; Bacillati; Bacillota; Bacilli; Lactobacillales; Streptococcaceae
Description: bacterial SSU rRNA
Rfam family: Bacterial small subunit ribosomal RNA
Source: RNAcentral